Non-coding RNA from Phascolarctos cinereus (koala), 1709 nucleotides. The record is from the annotation of a RefSeq genome assembly. NCBI's taxonomy places the organism in Eukaryota, Metazoa, Chordata, Mammalia, Diprotodontia, Phascolarctidae.
AGGGUCAGUCUCUCUUCUCACCCUAGGAUGGAGGUUUCUGAACAAAAAAAUCUCAUUCACCUGGAAGACAUGAAAUUGUUCUGGUUUCUGUUCUGCUUGGUGGCAGGUGUCCUGUCUGACCUGCAACUGGAGGAGUCAGGGCCAGGACUUGCAAAGCCCUCAGAGUCCCUUACACUCACCUGUUCUGUCACUGGUGGCUCUGUUACUAGCAGUUACUACUGGAGCUGGAUCCGACAGUCUCCAGGGAAAGGGCUAGUGUGGAUUGGAUAUUGGAGUGGGAGUACAUACUACAACCCUGUUUUCCAAAACAGAGUCUCUAUCACAGCAGACACAUCUAAGAAUCAGUUCUCUCUGCAGCUAAAAUCACUCACAGCUGAGGACACAGCGGUAUAUUACUGUGCAAGAAGCACAAUGAGAAGAAAGGAGUAUGAGUUCAUACAUAAACUUUCUCCUACAAGGAAGCUAGAAGGUCAGGAUGCAUAUGGUGUUCAACUACUGAGCACAAGAGUCCAGUCCCAGGAGAGUAAAGAUGAACUAUUCUUUUCAGGGUUUAUGGCUUUCCCUCUCCACUCAGCAAACUUCCCUAGGGGCCUUCCCAUCCUUUUCAUCCUUGAGAUGGCCUUUUUUCUAAGAAUUUCAGAUAAUGACAGAUGAGAAAGUUUGUAAUUGCUUAUUGAAAUUCAACUGGGAAGUUGAAUCUCUACAGAAUAUUUUUUUUAAUAAAAUGUUUGACAGAUUCCCAUGUUUUGAGAUCACAGGCCACUGUUAGCUGUACUUUGUUCUAUUGAGCUACAUUUUUAUUUCUUAGACAAUAAGAGAUAGUUUUGAUAAUUAUUGUAUUAUAAUAUACUUUAACAUGUAGUAAUAUUAAGCCUCCUUCCUUUACAUUUUUUUCAUUAGUUCAUUUAUACUCUUAAUUUCUUAUUCUUCCAAAAGAACUUUAUUAUUGUUUUUCUAAGUCAGUAAAAUAAGUUUUUGGUCAAAAAUGGGAUGUCAUUGAAUACACAAAUUAGGUUAGGCAAAAUUGUCAAUAUUUUGCCCUGCCUACUCAUGGACAAUUAACAUUUCUCCAAUUACUUGUAUCUGAUUUUAUUUGUAUAAUUUUUUAAAAAUAAUUUUUAGGUCUUAUUUUGUUUUGCCAAAUGUACUCCCCAGCAUUUUAUGCUGUCAACAGGUAUUUCAAAUGGGGUAUCUCUUACUAUCCUUGUUUGUAGAGCUAUAUUUCCGAUAUAUAGGAAUGGUGAUAAUUUGAGUGGAUUUACUUUGUAUCCUGCUACCUUGCUAAAAUUAUUAGUUUUUUCAAUUAACUUUUUAAUCUUUCAGAUUUUCCAAGUGUAUCAUCAUAUCACCUGCAAAAAGAGAUAAUUUUAUUACACCAUUCCCUUUCUGAUGCCUUUUAUUUCUCUUAUUUCUACUGCUAGGAUUUUUAAUACAAUGUUGAUUAAUAUUGGUGACACUGAGCAUCCUUGUUUCAAACCUGAUCUUACGUGGAAGGUUUCUAUCUUAGCUGCAUUACAAAUAAUGUUUGUUCAUGGCUUCAGAUGAAUGCUUUUUUUUUCUCAAUGUAAGGAAAAUUCCACUUGUACUUUUAAGUGCUACUAAUAGAAAUGAGUGUUACACUUUAACAAAAGGGUUUUUUUCUGCAUCUACUGAUCAUGUAAUUUUAAAAACUUUUAUUAUUGAUAUAAUAAAUUAUGUUAAUAACUUUC